GAAAUGCGAUAAGUAAUGUGAAUUGCAGAAUUCAGUGAAUCAUCGAAUCUUUGAACGCACCUUGCGCUCCUUGGUAUUCCUUGGAGCAUGCCUGUUUGAGUAUCAUGAAAUCUUCAAAGUAAAUCUUUUGUUAACUCAAUUGGUUUCUACUUUGGUAUUGGAGGUCUUUGCAGCUUCACACCUGCUCCUCUUUGUUCAUUAGCUGGAUCUCAGUGUUAUGCUUGGUUCCACUCGGCGUGAUAAGUUAUCUAUCGCUGAGGACACUGUAAAAGGUGGCCAAGGUAAAUGCAGAUGAGCUGCUUCUAAUAGUCCAUUGACUUGGACAAUACUUUUAUGAUCUGAUCUCAAAUCAGGUAGGACUACCCGCUGAACUUAAGC
This 378-nucleotide unclassified non-coding RNA is filed under the name plant metagenome. RNAcentral's name for it is "partial contains 5.8S ribosomal RNA, internal transcribed spacer 2, and large subunit ribosomal RNA". The stretch from base 1 to 105 matches the Rfam family "5.8S ribosomal RNA", at positions 50 to 154 of the family's 154-position model. The record is from RNAcentral.